Molecule: ribosomal RNA, 428 nt
Filed under: uncultured bacterium
Lineage: Bacteria
Description: bacterial SSU rRNA
Rfam family: Bacterial small subunit ribosomal RNA
Source: RNAcentral
CCCCAGACUCCUACGGGAGGCAGCAGUGGGGAAUAUUGCACAAUGGGGGAAACCCUGAUGCAGCGACGCCGCGUGAAGGAUGAAGUAUUUCGGUAUGUAAACUUCUAUCAGCGGGGAAGAAAAUGACGGUACCUGAGUAAGAAGCCCCGGCUAACUACGUGCCAGCAGCCGCGGUAAUACGUAGGGGGCAAGCGUUAUCCGGGUUUACUGGGUGUAAAGGGAGCGUAGACGGCAGUGCAAGUCUGGAGUGAAAGGCGGGGGCUCAACGCGCGGACUGCUCUGGAAACUGUACGGCUGGAGGGCAGGAGAGGUAAGUGGAAUUCCUAGAGGAGGGGUGAAAUGCGUAGAUAUUAGGAGGAACGCCAGUGGCGAAGGCGGCUUACUGGACUGUAACUGACGUUGAGGCUCGAAAGCGUGGGGAGCAAACA